This 120-nucleotide ribosomal RNA is filed under the name Erinaceus europaeus (western European hedgehog). The record is from RNAcentral. Lineage: Eukaryota; Metazoa; Chordata; Mammalia; Eulipotyphla; Erinaceidae.
GUCUACGGCCAUACAACUCUGAACACACCCGAUCUCGUCUGAUCUUGGAAGCUAAGCAGGGUCGAGCCUGGUUAGUACUUGGAUGGGAGACCGCCUGAGAAUACCGGGUUGUUGUUAAAA